GUGGGGAAUUUUGGACAAUGGGCGCAAGCCUGAUCCAGCAAUGCCGCGUGCAGGAAGAAGGCCUUCGGGUUGUAAACUGCUUUUGUACGGAACGAAACGGUCCGGGUUAAUACCCUGGGCUAAUGACGGUACCGUAAGAAUAAGCACCGGCUAACUACGUGCCAGCAGCCGCGGUAAUACGUAGGGUGCAAGUGUUAAUCGGAAUUACUGGGCGUAAAGCGUGCGCAGGCGGGUUUGUAAGACAGGCGUGAAAUCCCCGGGCUCAACCUGGGAAUUGCGCUUGUGACUGCAAGGCUGGAGUGCGGCAGAGGGGGAUGGAAUUCCGCGUGUAGCAGUGAAAUGCGUAGAUAUGCGGAGGAACACCGAUGGCGAAGGCAAUCCCCUGGGCCUGCACUGACGCUCAUGCACGAAAGCGUGGGGAGCAAACAGGAUUAGAUACCCGUGUAGUCC
RNAcentral lists this ribosomal RNA (450 nucleotides) under uncultured bacterium. Its description in RNAcentral is "partial 16S ribosomal RNA". It matches the Rfam family "Bacterial small subunit ribosomal RNA", at positions 354 to 796 of the family's 1533-position model. The record is from RNAcentral.